Molecule: long non-coding RNA, 591 nt
Filed under: Coturnix japonica (Japanese quail)
Lineage: Eukaryota; Metazoa; Chordata; Aves; Galliformes; Phasianidae
Description: lncRNA (ENSCJPG00005009852.1)
Source: RNAcentral
GGCCUAAAGGAGGUGGGGACCCCAUACGGUGUCCCUGAGCAGCAGUUGGACAUCCCUGAGCUGAGCAUGCCUGAGCCAGCACAGCACAGCACGGAGAAGAAGCGUACAGAGAAGGUGGGAGCGAAGGGCAGCACCGUGGUGCCUGCAGGUAGGAGUGCAUGAAACAUCCUCAUCAACCCCAAACCACCUCACUGUCCCACAUCCGCAGCCAGCCCAGUGGAUGGAGUAGGGAUGGAACCCCUCAUUUCUGCAAUACAAACCCCAUGGUGCUCGGUGCAGCCCUUGUGGGGGUGCUCAAGGGGUGGCAGGGGCUACCUCUAAGUAAUUCUGUGUCCCUUUGGGUUCCCAGUCCCCAAGAGCCUCCCCGUGAAGGCAAAGGUGGAGUCCCACAGCCUGGACCCCGCGGAGGAGCCGCUCAUCUGGGAGGGGCUCACCCUCAACAAGUGCAUCCUGGUGGCCUCCAUCGUUGCUUUGCUCAGCGUCAGCUUCCAGGUGCUCCAAGCUCCGCCAUGCCCCAGGGACGGUGUCAGCAGUGGCAAGCAAGAGCCGCCAGCAGCUCCCAUCCACGAGGUCAUCGUCCCCAAGGAGGAG